GGGUGCGAUCAUACCAACACUAAUGCACCGGAUUCCAUCAGAGCUCCACAAUUAAGUUUACUUGAAUGAGAAUGGUUUUAGAAUGGAUGAUCUCCUGAGAAGUCCUCUCGCUCCACCUU
RNAcentral lists this ribosomal RNA (119 nucleotides) under Beta vulgaris subsp. vulgaris (sugar beet). The record is from RNAcentral. Lineage: Eukaryota; Viridiplantae; Streptophyta; Magnoliopsida; Caryophyllales; Amaranthaceae.